GAUGAACGCUAGCUACAGGCUUAACACAUGCAAGUCGAGGGGCAGCAUGAUUGAAGCUUGCUUCAAUCGAUGGCGACCGGCGCACGGGUGAGUAACACGUAUCCAACCUGCCGAUAACUCGGGGAUAGCCUUUCGAAAGAAAGAUUAAUACCCGAUAGUAUAGUAUUUCCGCAUGGUUUCACUAUUAAAGAACUUCGGUUAUCGAUGGGGAUGCGUUCCAUUAGAUAGUUGGCGGGGUAACGGCCCACCAAGUCAACGAUGGAUAGGGGUUCUGAGAGGAAGGUCCCCCACAUUGGAACUGAGACACGGUCCAAACGCCUACGGGAGGCAGCAGUGAGGAAUAUUGGUCAAUGGACGAGAGUCUGAACCAGCCAAGUAGCGUGAAGGAGGACUGCCCUAUGGGUUGUAAACUUCUUUUAUACGGGAAUAAAGUGGAGUAUGCAUACUCCUUUGUAUGUACCGUAUGAAUAAGGAGCGGCUAACUCCGUG
This 489-nucleotide ribosomal RNA is filed under the name uncultured bacterium. RNAcentral's name for it is "partial 16S ribosomal RNA". It matches the Rfam family "Bacterial small subunit ribosomal RNA", at positions 28 to 507 of the family's 1533-position model. The record is from RNAcentral.